RNAcentral lists this ribosomal RNA (253 nucleotides) under uncultured bacterium. RNAcentral describes it as "partial 16S ribosomal RNA". It matches the Rfam family "Bacterial small subunit ribosomal RNA", at positions 524 to 776 of the family's 1533-position model. The record is from RNAcentral.
UACGAAGGGGGCAAGCGUUGUUCGGAAUUACUGGGCGUAAAGUGCGCGCAGGCGGCGUUGCAAGUCGAGUGUGAAAUCCCCGAGCUUAACUUGGGAAUUGCGCUCGAAACUACGAUGCUCGAGUGUGGCAGAGGAAGGUGGAAUUCCACGUGUAGCGGUGAAAUGCGUAGAGAUGUGGAGGAACACCGAUGGCGAAGGCAGCCUUCUGGGCCAACACUGACGCUCAUGCACGAAAGCGUGGGGAGCAAACAGG